UUUUUCGAGACUAUACUAACUUGAGAUAUCAGAGCUAGUUCUUUCUUAGUAGAGUGUGGAUUAUCCCUCUACUUGAAGGUAUACUAGCAUUUUUUAGAGGUUGCGGAUUACCCUCCUCUAAACUGAUACUUCUUUUGUUACAAUAUUGGAGUCUUAUUCUUCUUGGAGAGAGUGGAUUACCCCUCUUCUUGAAAUUCUUAAGGCAUUUUAUAGGUUGUGGAUUAUCCUCCUAUAAACCAAUAUUACCUCUUAUAGGGUCAUUUUUGUCCUUCUUUUAGAAUGGCCGGAAGUCAAGACAUUAGUAUGACAGAAAGUUCGGAGUCUAAGUUAGAUGCUAUUAUGAAUGCCCUCGCUCCGUUAUCACAAAGAACUGCAGAGAUUGAAGGAGUGGUGGCAAGGCUUCAUAAUGAUGGAGUAUCUGGGAUAGCACAAUCUAAACUACAUCAGCCUCAAAUUUCGGCACUUGGAGAAACAACUUUACCUCAGAUUCGACAAGAACCACUAGUUCUACAACAUAAAGAGCCUCGAGUUAGCCUUCCAG
This 541-nucleotide long non-coding RNA is filed under the name Physcomitrium patens. RNAcentral's name for it is "long non-coding RNA (PPAT_LNC012269)". Lineage: Eukaryota; Viridiplantae; Streptophyta; Bryopsida; Funariales; Funariaceae. The record is from RNAcentral.